AUGCAGGGAAGGAGGAAGGGAAGGAAAGAUAUUCAGUUUACCGUCACAGAGGAGAGAAGAAACUAGAACAUAUUCAAACUAUUUAACAAGCUGACAUCUGAGAAAUUUUGA
This is a long non-coding RNA of Etheostoma spectabile (orangethroat darter), 111 nucleotides long. RefSeq lists it as uncharacterized. The record is from RefSeq and is a predicted model, not a curated record. Lineage: Eukaryota; Metazoa; Chordata; Actinopteri; Perciformes; Percidae. The transcript is spliced from 3 exons.